Molecule: long non-coding RNA, 210 nt
Filed under: Capsella rubella
Lineage: Eukaryota; Viridiplantae; Streptophyta; Magnoliopsida; Brassicales; Brassicaceae
Description: long non-coding RNA (CRUB_LNC003977)
Source: RNAcentral
UUUGGUAUUUGUAAAACAUCAGAGAGAACAUCAAUUCUAGACUGAGAAGGAUGUCCUAAGCGAGUAUGCCACAAAUGAGAACUAACAGCAGAGACAGAAAAAGAUAAAGGAUGUAAAGAAGAAGCAAUGCUACCUUGAAUUUUAAAACUUGUAUGUGUUUCAUCAGACUGAAGAAUAUAAAGAUUGGACACUUCACUACCUUUCCCAAGC